This 252-nucleotide ribosomal RNA is filed under the name uncultured bacterium. Its description in RNAcentral is "partial 16S ribosomal RNA". It matches the Rfam family "Bacterial small subunit ribosomal RNA", at positions 524 to 776 of the family's 1533-position model. The record is from RNAcentral.
UACGGGGGGGCAAGCGUUGUUCGGAAUUACUGGGCGUAAAGGGCUCGUAGGUUGCCAACUAAGUCAGACGUGAAAUCCCUCAGCUUAACUGGGGAACUGCGUCUGAUACUGGAUGGCUUGAGUUUGGGAGAGGGACGCGGAAUUCCAGGUGUAGCGGUGAAAUGCGUAGAUAUCUGGAGGAACACCGGUGGCGAAGGCGGCGUCCUGGACCAACACUGACACUGAUGAGCGAAAGCGUGGGGAGCAAACAGG